Paenibacillus sp. FSL H8-0548 is the source of this 183-nucleotide non-coding RNA. It matches the Rfam family "6S / SsrS RNA". From Rfam's summary of the family: E. coli 6S RNA was the first non coding RNA to be sequenced, but its function was unknown until recently. It consists of 184 nucleotides that fold into an extended hairpin structure with a large single-stranded internal bulge. The 6S RNA specifically associates with RNA polymerase holoenzyme containing the sigma70 specificity factor. The record is from Rfam. NCBI's taxonomy places the organism in Bacteria, Bacillati, Bacillota, Bacilli, Caryophanales, Paenibacillaceae.
UACCUCCUGCGAUGCUCGUUACGGCUUUACGCUGUUUUGAACCAAUGGCUGUUUCACGGGAGACCAAUAUCGAGACGUAGCUGACAUGCCCCCGAAAGGGGAUCUCAAAAGCGGUUCUGCGGUCACCCACCUGCGUAAGCGGGUUCAGAAACAUGUGAGUCGGACGGCAUAGGCGGGUUUUCA